UGCAUUCAACAUUCAUGCAUUGAAAAAUCGCAAGUUUUAUAAUGGAAAAUUUUACGCCGCAGUUUCAUACGUGCUGAAGUGUUAAGACAAUUGAUUAUCUUUUUAUAGAUGCUUGUUACCAAGUGUUCUAGCUAAUUUCAACGAAGGCGAUACCUAGAACAUGCAUGUCUUGUCAAAGGACGCAGCACUGACACCUUGGAGUGAAGAUUCCCUCGAGAUACAGAUAAAUGAACUUAUUUGUAAUUUGUAAUUUAUUCAAGAGAAAGUUAUCUGUAAAACUGAAAUAUAUUUAUGUAGCUUUAAA
Xenia sp. Carnegie-2017 is the source of this 304-nucleotide long non-coding RNA. RefSeq lists it as uncharacterized. The transcript has 2 exons. Lineage: Eukaryota; Metazoa; Cnidaria; Anthozoa; Malacalcyonacea; Xeniidae. The record is from RefSeq and is a predicted model, not a curated record.